Molecule: ribosomal RNA, 429 nt
Filed under: Variovorax paradoxus
Lineage: Bacteria; Pseudomonadati; Pseudomonadota; Betaproteobacteria; Burkholderiales; Comamonadaceae
Description: bacterial SSU rRNA
Rfam family: Bacterial small subunit ribosomal RNA
Source: RNAcentral
AUUGAACGCUGGCGGCAUGCCUUACACAUGCAAGUCGAACGGCAGCACGGGAGCAAUCCUGGUGGCGAGUGGCGAACGGGUGAGUAAUACAUCGGAACGUGCCCAAUCGUGGGGGAUAACGCAGCGAAAGCUGUGCUAAUACCGCAUACGAUCUACGGAUGAAAGCAGGGGAUCGCAAGACCUUGCGCGAAUGGAGCGGCCGAUGGCAGAUUAGGUAGUUGGUGAGGUAAAGGCUCACCAAGCCGUCGAUCUGUAGCUGGUCUGAGAGGACGACCAGCCACACUGGGACUGAGACACGGCCCAGACUCCUACGGGAGGCAGCAGUGGGGAAUUUUGGACAAUGGGCGAAAGCCUGAUCCAGCCAUGCCGCGUGCAGGAUGAAGGCCUUCGGGUUGAAAACUGCUUUUGUCCAGAACGAAACACCUUUCC